Molecule: transfer RNA, 85 nt
Filed under: Felis catus (domestic cat)
Lineage: Eukaryota; Metazoa; Chordata; Mammalia; Carnivora; Felidae
Rfam family: tRNA
About the family: Transfer RNA (tRNA) molecules are approximately 80 nucleotides in length.
Source: Rfam by way of RNAcentral
ACCUGGGUGGCUCAGUCGGUUGAGCGUCUGACUUCAGCUCAGGUCACGAUCUCACGGUUCGUGAGUUCGAGCCUCGCGUCAGGCU